CUACUCGAGGGGUCGUUUGGUCUUGUACCCUGUCUGUAGCCACCUUUCGGGCUGGAACGCUGAGCAUGGGCCACUUUCUAGAGGGUCUUUGUGACCCAGCACAGGGCACUGGAGAGAGUAGGACCCACUUCCACGUUCCUGUAUGAGCCGUGACCCCGCCAGUAAUAGGGCAGCCCGCCAAGCGCUCUCCGCGGCGUCGGCGCAGCCCAGCUGUUCGUCCCCGCGACUCCGGGAGGCGGCGCCCUGGCUCUACUCAGCGGGCACUGAGAUCCCAGAUCACACCGGGCCCCAGGGCGGUGCGGGCACCAGUGAGUAGAGGGUUCCCAGGCCCACCUGCGCUGGAGUCGCCGUUCACACGGUUCCACGCUCUGUGGUAGAUGGAAUCCCGGGACUCUGCGCCGUUCCAUCUUAGUGCUCUUGGAUUUAGAGUUCCUGGGAGAAUGGAGUAUGGGAACAGCAGAUCUAAUUAUUUUACUUCCAACCCAGGGUUCUGAAGUUAUUUCAGAGGUUGUAAGGAGAGGACACCAUUUCUCGCUGUAAGGUUGAGUUUGUCGCUUCGCAGCCCUUGGCCUCAGUUCUCUCGGGUCUAAAACUGGAAUAUUAACUAUUGUUCUCUCUGGGUUGAGGGAACUGGAUAGGGUAUAGUGUGACGUGCGUCCCUGAGUGUUCGGCACGGCCGAGAAUAUUAUUCUAGAUAUGGUUUCUGGAAAAGGAUUCCCAUGAUGCUAUCACCUUAGGCUCAUUCACGGAGAGUCUGACCCUUAGGCAUCCCUGCCUCAGGUCUUGACCCAGCUGAAAGUUGGGAAAGAGGAUGAAAGCCUGGAGAACAGAGGCAUUUGUAUCAUUUAAAGAUGUGGCCAUGACCUUCACUAGGGAGGAGUGGAGACAUCUGGACCUGUACCAGAAGAGCUUAUACCAGGAAGUGAUGCUGGAGACUUGUAGUCUCCUGGUCUCAGUAGGGCAGCCUGUUCCCAAACUAGAGCUGAUCUACCUCCUAGAGCAUGGGCAAGGACUAUGGACAAUGAAGAAAGUCCUCUCUCUCUAGAAGCACCUAUACAGGUCCCGAUUUGAUUGCUAUCAACUUCAACUGAUCUACCCAACUGUGG
Pteronotus mesoamericanus is the source of this 1106-nucleotide long non-coding RNA. RefSeq lists it as uncharacterized. NCBI's taxonomy places the organism in Eukaryota, Metazoa, Chordata, Mammalia, Chiroptera, Mormoopidae. The transcript has 4 exons. The record is from RefSeq and is a predicted model, not a curated record.